ACUGAAUAGAUACCCGGGUAGUCCACGCCCUAAACGAUGCAUAUUUGGUGUGGGCAGUUCAUUCUGUCCGUGCCGGAGCUAACGCGUUAAAUAUGCCGCCUGGGGAGUACAGUCGCAAGGCUGAAACUCAAAGGAAUUGACGGGGGCCCGCACAAGCGGUGGAGCAUGUGGUUCAAUUCGACGCAACGCGAAGAACCUUACCUGGGCUCGAACGGCUGGUCAACGGAGGUGGAAACAUCUUUACCCCGCAAGGGGGUCCAGUCGAGGUGCUGCAUGGCUGUCGUCAGCUCGUGUCGUGAGAUGUUGGGUUAAGUCCCGCAACGAGCGCAACCCUUGUCCUGUGUUGCCAUCAUUCAGUUGGGAACUCGCAGGAGACCGCCAGGGAUAACCUGGAGGAAGGUGGGGAUGACGUCAAGUCCUCAUGGCCUUUAUGUCCAGGGCUACACACGUGCUACAAUGGACGGUACAAAGCGCAGCAAACCCGCGAGGGGUAGCCAAUCGCAAAAACCC
This 510-nucleotide ribosomal RNA is filed under the name uncultured bacterium. RNAcentral's name for it is "bacterial SSU rRNA". It matches the Rfam family "Bacterial small subunit ribosomal RNA", at positions 772 to 1283 of the family's 1533-position model. The record is from RNAcentral.